CUUCUUCAUGAAGGAAUACAGGGACAGUCACAGGAGACAGGAGCACCAAGGGACUCGGACAUGUGGCUGACACAGUCUUCUGGAGAGCCCCGGAUGGCAUCAGGGGGAAACCUGGCCUGAGACAGUGCCCUGAUGGACAAGGACAGGAAUACGGUCAUACCUCCUGCCCACUUGACCAACGACCAGGAUGAGAAGCCAACAGAUGAUGAAUAUGAAUUAAAGUUGGACAACUAGCAAGUUUAAAACUUGGACUGGGACCUAGAUCUUCCGAUUCCUACAGCUAGCCUCCCUUUCCAUCUUCUCUGUGGUCAUCACUAAUGCAGUUUUUGACCGUCUUGUCCAGAAGCUGCAAAACAGACAACAGAAGCCAGGACUGGUCCUGCCUUAGAUGGCUUUCAGUGCAGGAAAGUAUCAAGACAGUCUUGUUCAUAGCGUAUAUCUCUCUCCACCUUUUCUGCUAAGCACCUCAUGUAUGCAGCUGCCAAUGUAACACCUCCAUUUGCGUGUUUAAUCACCAUCUCAAGCUAAUGUAACCAAGCAGACUUCUUGGCCUUCAUCCCUGCCUCCUCUAGUCUUCUCAUCUCUCUCUCUCUCUCUCUCUCUCUUUUUGAGACAGAGUUUGGCUCUGUCGCCCAGGCUGGAGUGCAGUGGCACCAUCUUGGCUCACUGCAACCUCUGCCUCCUGGGCUCAAGC
RNAcentral lists this long non-coding RNA (694 nucleotides) under Pan troglodytes (chimpanzee). RNAcentral's name for it is "long non-coding RNA NONPTRT002018". The record is from RNAcentral. Lineage: Eukaryota; Metazoa; Chordata; Mammalia; Primates; Hominidae.